Ylistrum balloti is the source of this 4701-nucleotide long non-coding RNA. RefSeq lists it as uncharacterized. The record is from RefSeq and is a predicted model, not a curated record. The transcript is spliced from 2 exons. NCBI's taxonomy places the organism in Eukaryota, Metazoa, Mollusca, Bivalvia, Pectinida, Pectinidae.
UGUCAAAUAAAAAAGCUAAAGUUUUCAAAAUUUAACAAAUUUUUAAAUUUUUUUCAAUUUUGAACUUUCUUGCAAUUUUAUUCUUCAGAUCGAUGCAGAACAUCCUUCCGAUGAAUUUAAUGUUUUGUUUUUUGUUAGAUUGUCGCCAAAGAAGUGAAAAGCCCGCAAAAUUGUUAGCAACAAUUUCUAGUUCUUAUUGUUAUUACAAGCUUCCUGGUAAUUAGUAUGUACAUAUUAUUACUGUAUUUAAAGUGUUGCCAUGUCUGUCCCAUGUGUUGCAUUUUAACUUGCAUUUACCAUUUUAUUUUUUUAAAUCAAUAGAAUGAAAAACUAUUCACAGCCAUCAUGAUAUCUCACCUACCAUAUCAUUUUCAUGGCCUAUGUCAAUCUUUCCCGAAGACAAGCUUUACUGAGAAUACUAGUAUAAAUUUGAAUUUGUAUACUUACUUUUUUAACUACCAAUCUUGUAUCUUACAACUUACAUACCGAAAUUAUGUUAAUAUCCAUUUGAAGUGAUUAAUUAUAUGGUAAUAUUGAUACCUUCAUGGUGUUGUUAUGUAAUUAAUUUAGGUAACUAAGCUAUAAAUAAUCUGGAGCAACAAUCUUGAUACUUAGGAAAAAGUAGGCAAUGAUAAAUUCCUGGUGUGCUCAAUAGAGAAACUUUAGAAUCUUUUCAAUAUGAUCUCAGCUAUAUGGUCAGCAUUCUUGGUGCAGAUGACAUGGACUGAAGUUUAACUGCGUGUAUUUUUGUAAGUAAACCAUGUAUAAUGUCCCCAUUUGGUCGGAUAAUCAAAUUUAGUUACGAUGUACUCAGGUCAGUUGUUGUAUAUCUUCAACAGUUAUUGACAUCAAAUCGAAAAUUAGAAUUGUAAUAUAAAUACUUAUCUGAUUACAAGCUAAAUAGUACUAAGUAUUUAUAUAUUCUUACUGUAUUUAAAAUGUCAGGGAGACUGUUUUCCUGGUGUAAUGCAUAAAUUUACCUCAUGCAUAAAAGGUAUCAUGCAGGAUUAGUUUUUUACACCAAUAGCUCUCUCCUCCUACGUUGUGUCUUUUCCUCAACCCCCAAAUACUUUAUAUACCCCUGUUUAAAAUCUAUCCCCUUAACAAGUGUCAAAAAAGUAAACACUCCCCUGUCAUGAAUUGUGCUGAAAUGGCAACGUUGUGGAUGGGAGGUAACUCCAGACAGCUUGAAAUGGAAUUCAUAUAGUGUGUAUAGCAUGCAAUACAAUCUUUAUAAUAUGCCCAACAGUCUUCGUGCAAAUGAUAAGGAUUGAAGUUUAACAAUCUAAAUGUUGGCAAGUAAACCAAUCUGAUCAGAUCAUCUGAUGUAGUCACAAUGUUUUCAGAUCAGUUGUACAGUUGCUACAAAUAAUAUAAAUUUAGAAUUAUUAAAUAAAUAUGCAUUUUGCAGGAGAUAGAGCUCUGUCCAUCUGUGUGUGCACUCAUGUGUGUAAGAUCAUUUUCCGGUCCAGUACUCUGAAACUUUUGUACAGAUAUAAAGCUAGUAAUGUAAUAGUGCCUUUUGCUAUGGAGAAGUUCUCCAUUCAAAUACUUUUUCUGUUACCAUGGAAACAGAUAAACAGAAAUCACAAACCAUACAACAAUGGAAAAUAAUCUACACAAAAAUAUCUAACAGUGGUACAAUGGACUUAUGUACCUGUUAUAUUAUUGCGCGUCUUUUUAACAGCAAGGCACAGGGGAUAAUGUGUCAUGUAGUUAUGAUGAAAUAACGAUCACAGGUGCAUUAAAAUUGAUCAUGGAUUAUAAAAAUAAUUUUUAAAUUGAAAGUUUUUGAAAUAACAGUAGAUGCUGGAUUAGUUAGUCUUUCUAUUGUAUAGUUUCAAACCUAAGACAGUGGCAAGUAGUGUUCCUCUGGCAAUAAAUAUUACCACUAUACGGAAUAGACAUGACAGGUCCAGAUCCGUACCACCUAGGUUUCCAAUGUAACAAUUACAACACUUGAGAUUUACCUGAAUAUAUAUUUCUUUACAAAAUUCUUGAAAAAAUUGUAAUACAGAAGUAAUGAAAGUAAAAUUUUUCCUUUCUGAUGGUAUGAGGUUUUAGAUGUUUUAUUGCAGAGACAACAAGAGACAUCCAUUUAAUGUUUACAUACAUAAUGAUAUAAUGACUAUCUGUUCACCAAGGCUGGUCACGUGUGGCACUUUAUAAACAAAACACUUUGAAUUAUGAGUGUAUAUAACGAUUCAGUCUAUAUCUGAUAGAUUUAUUAUAUAUAUGUCCAACCUAUAGAUUUAUGGCUUAAUUAGAAAAUUUACUUUGUUGUACUCUUAUACAACAGGCUAUUUAAAAAAUGAAUAAACCCUAUCCAACACUUAUUGACAAAUCAUUUCUAAAUCUAUGUUAGCCGUGAUAUAUAGCAUAUUUGUGCAAUACCAGUAUACAGGUUCUCCUGUUCCUGGACGGAAGAUUUUAUAUAGGAAAAUUCACUUAUUGUGUUUAAUUUGUUUUAAUUCAAACUUGGUUAGAAGUCUUAGUAAGUUAAUGUUUUACACAGUUUACAUUAGGUGUACAAUGUAGUUAUCUUACUUUGUUUAACAAAAUCAUUUUUAUGACAUGUUACAAGAAGCAAUGUAACUCAGUUGACCAUUAAGGCCCUUGGGCCUUUUGUUACUGUCACUUUUCUUCUCUGUAAGAGAAAGAAAGACAGAUGAGGAGUGAUGACAGAAAACAGAUUUGAUCAGGUAGUACACAAGCAUAUGAGUAAACACCACAGAUAGCCUUGGAAGAGCCUUUUCACCUGCAGGGGAAAUUCUUUCAUCACCAGUUCAGAGUUCACUGUAAGUUUACAUAUAAAUUGUAGUCUCUUUCUCUUACACAAGGUGUAAAGAUUAGUCUACAUUUAACUGAAAGUUUCAAAGUAGGGAGAUAUAAGCUAGAGUAAGACUUGAGGUGAGUAAUCCUGAACAAAUGCUUAGGCACUGGUAGCUAUUCUAAGUAUUCUAAAGUGUACACUGUAAUAUUGAAAUUAUAUUGGCCAAAAGGAGUAAAAGUUUAAAAAUAGACGGAUAAAGCUGAUCUACACUCCCUCUCCUGUGUUUAAGCUUCCUGAGACAACUUCAGGUAUAAGACUGUUUAAUGUGGUGAAUUAAGAGGCUUCCUGAGACAACAUCGGGUAUUAGACUGUUUAAUGUGGUGAAUUAAGAGGCUUCCUGAGACAACAUCGGGUAUAAGACUGUUUAAUGUGGUGAAUUAAGAGGCUUCCUGAGACAACUUCAGGUAUAAGACUGUUUAAUGUGGUGAAUUAAGAGGCUUCCUGAGACAACAUCGGGUAUUAGACUGUUUAAUGUGGUGAAUUAAGAGGCUUCCUGAGACAACUUCAGGUAUAAGACUGUUUAAUGUGGUGAAUUAAGAGGCUUCCUGAGACAACAUCGGGUAUUAGACUGUUUAAUGUGGUGAAUUAAGAGGCUUCCUGAGACAACUUCGGGUAUUUGUUCAUCUAUGUAGUCGAAAAUCUGCUGCUAUAAAAAAGUUGCAGCAUCAAAUAGGAAUAUUAGUGAUAACUAUUUGCUGGUAGGUAUUUAUUUAUUUAUUUGGUCUAAAAUAGGUUUAUUGAAAUUUGUUUUCAAAGUUAAUUUGUGUCUCUCAAUUAAUUUCAUAAUUUUUAGCUCACCUGACCAAGAGAGCUUUUCUAUUUAAGCAACUUUUUCUCAGUAAACAGCAGACCUGGCUGGUUGCUGGGAUGUAGCACGACAAAGUUUGCGGAAUAAAAAAGACCUGACCUUUAUUUAAGGUCAAAGGGGCCAAAUUUGUUGAAACAUUUAAAUGACUUCUUCUGAUUAACCAAAAGGUGUAGAAGCGUGGUAUUGUGCAGGCAAAUUCCUAGAAUGAAGCCCAACAAACCGUAUGCAAGAUCACAGGGUUCAAAUUUGUUAAAAUCUUAAAGUGGCAAUUAAAUCAAGUUUUAUAAAUAUUUUUCAAGUCAAAAAACUUUUAUGGAAUUGUAGUUCUGUGCUCCUUAUGAAUUAUUAUAAGUACAACCAACAUUUUAUAUCCAAAUACAAUGACACUUUGAUCUAAUUGGCAUGCAUAAACCUGUCUGGAUAAUGUCAACAAAAAUGGCUUCCAAGUUAAGUGAGUAAAACAUACUACAGGGUCUCCCAACAAACAAAUAGAAUUGUUUACAAGCAGCUUUGUUCCCACAUGUCAUUUUGUGCAAUAUAAAGAUUCCUGAUAUAUUUGGCACUGGCUUUCCCAAAAUUUAAACUGACCAGACAUUGAUAAGCUAGCAAAUUGAUUGCAUGUGCCCUCUUUGAAUGCCAAUGGUUUACAUAUCCAUAUAUUUGUGAUAUAAACUCAGAUUCCAAUUUUGAUCAAUUCAGGCCCAUUAGGCCUCUUGUUUGUUUAUCAGACUACAUUGUUUACAGGUUUUAUUUCAUUGAUUGUUUACAUAAAAUAUACAGUCAAACCUCAUUAUCUCAAACAUUUAUAACUUGAAGACACUGUUUAGUUUGAAGAAUUGCAUUAGUCCCAGUAAAUCUUCACGCCAAUCAUUCAAACUCACAGAUAACUGAAAAUUUGUCAUGGUCCCAUCAACUAGGAGAUAAUGAAGUCUGAGUGUGCUAUCAGUAUGCAAUCUGUUUAUCCAAUAACUCUUUGUCAUUUUAAGACAGAAUCCUUUGUUAAUGGUGUUGGUGUAACUGACAAUGCUUUAUUCAAUAAAUUAACUGAUUUUCAAUUGAG